This 76-nucleotide transfer RNA is filed under the name Hydrotalea sp. AMD. RNAcentral describes it as "tRNA-Pro". It matches the Rfam family "tRNA". Rfam says of the family: Transfer RNA (tRNA) molecules are approximately 80 nucleotides in length. Their secondary structure includes four short double-helical elements and three loops (D, anti-codon, and T loops). The record is from RNAcentral. Lineage: Bacteria; Pseudomonadati; Bacteroidota; Chitinophagia; Chitinophagales; Chitinophagaceae.
CAGGGUAUAGCUGAGGUUGGUUUAGCAUACCGUUUGGGGCGGUAAGACGUAGGUUCGAAUCCUGCUAUCCUGACAA